AAUCAACGCUGGCGGCGUGCCUCAGACAUGCAAGUCGAACGAUUAAAGCUCUCUUCGGAGAGUGUAUAAAGUGGCGCACGGGUGAGUAACACGUAAGUAAUCUACCUUCGAGUGGGGAAUAACGUCCGGAAACGGACGCUAAUACCGCAUAAUGCACCGGCAUCGCAAGAUGACAGUUGUUAAAGAUUUAUCGCUUGAAGAGGAGCUUGCGGCAGAUUAGCUAGUUGGUAAGGUAAUGGCUUACCAAGGCUACGAUCUGUAACCGGUCUAAGAGGACGGUCGGUCACACUGACACUGAAUAACGGGUCAGACUCCUACGGGAGGCAGCAGUCGGGAAUUUGGGCAAUGGGCGAAAGCCUGACCCAGCAACGCCGCGUGAAGGAUGAAGUAUUUCGGUAUGUAAACUUCGAAAGAAUAGGAAGAAUAAAUGAC
Molecule: ribosomal RNA, 432 nt
Filed under: uncultured bacterium
Lineage: Bacteria
Description: bacterial SSU rRNA
Rfam family: Bacterial small subunit ribosomal RNA
Source: RNAcentral